This is a long non-coding RNA of Cyprinus carpio carpio, 884 nucleotides long. NCBI's taxonomy places the organism in Eukaryota, Metazoa, Chordata, Actinopteri, Cypriniformes, Cyprinidae. The record is from Ensembl.
CAACUGAAUUUUUAAACACAAAACUUUCAUUUUUUUAAAUAAACAGACUUAUAUUUUGUUUUUUAUUUAAUUUUUAAAGACAGAGUUAGCCUACUUUAAUCCUGUUGCUCCAGUACUAAACAUUUUAUUUAAAUUUUAGGGCAGUGUUUAAACGGGCAGGCUGCUCUGUCACCAGCAAAGGUGGCCACUCUCUGCAGCGAAUCGCACCUGUUGUUCCCUUCGAUACUUCAUGUGUAACGUAGACUAACCCAGAGCCGUUGAAAAACAGAGUUGCGAGACUGCCAUAGGAACUUUAGAAUGCGGAAGUAACGCGUGUCGUGGAGCAGCCAAUAGUUCCAAACACUGAUAGUUCCAGCGCUGAACUUCACACAUUUUCAAUGUUUCUGAAGUACGCUCGCUGGAGGUGAAAAACAAGUCUAAACCAAGACUUAAACUUAGAUAAAGUAAUUGUCAGUAAUUUAAGUUCCAGCUGUCGAACAGAUCAUGGCAUGAAGGAAGCCUGCUGUCCAAGAGCCUACCCUCUCUCUCCAGCAUAUCCAUGGCAUUUGGAUCCAUAAAGGAGCCACUGGUCCUAGUUCGGAACAGCUCCUCAAUUUGCCGGACUAAAUCGAAGGCCUCUUGUGACGGCCGACAAAGUACACCUGGCUUGAACUCUUUCAGCUUCAGUAAAACACUGUGAUUUCCUUCAGGACUGUCAUCAUUGUGCUUAAUUGCACUUUGGCAACCCUCACAAAUCUUGGAAUAUUUAAUCACUUAAUUGAUAUUCACUUGUUGUGCAUGUACAGUACAGGUCAAAAGUUUGGAAACAUUACUAUUUUUAAUGUUUUUGAAAGAAGUCUCUUCUGCUCAUCAAGCCUGCAUUUAUUUGAUCAAAAAUACAGAAA